ACGGAGGGUGCAAGCGUUAUUCGGAUUGACUGGGCGUAAAGCGCGCGUAGGCGGCCCGCUAAGUCUGGUGUGAAAUCCCUGGACUCAAUCCAGGAAGUGCAUCGGAUACUGGCGGGCUGGAGUACAGGAGAGGAGGGCGGAAUUCCCGGUGUAGAGGUGAAAUUCGUAGAUAUCGGGAGGAACAACAGGGGCGAAGGCGGCCCCCUGGACUGUCACUGACGCUGAGGCGCGAAAGCGUGGGGAGCAAACAGGA
Molecule: ribosomal RNA, 253 nt
Filed under: uncultured prokaryote
Description: partial 16S ribosomal RNA
Rfam family: Bacterial small subunit ribosomal RNA
Source: RNAcentral